Molecule: ribosomal RNA, 490 nt
Filed under: uncultured bacterium
Lineage: Bacteria
Description: partial 16S ribosomal RNA
Rfam family: Bacterial small subunit ribosomal RNA
Source: RNAcentral
AUUGAACGCUGGCGGCAGGCCUAACACAUGCAAGUCGAACGGUAACAGGAAGCAGCUUGCUGCUUUGCUGACGAGUGGCGGACGGGUGAGUAAUGUCUGGGAAACUGCCUGAUGGAGGGGGACAACUACUGGAAACGGUAGCCAAUACCGCAUAACGUCGCAAGACCAAAGAGGGGGACCUUCGGGCCUCUUGCCAUCGGAUGUGCCCAGAUGGGGUUAGCUAGUAGGUGGGGUAACGGCUCACCUAGGCGACGAUCCCUAGCUGGUCUGAGAGGAUGACCAGCCACACUUGAACUGGGACACGGUCCCGACUCCUACGGGAGGCAGCAGUGGGGAAUAUUGCACAAUGGGCGCAAGCCUGAUGCAGCCAUGCCGCGUGUAUGGAGAAGGCCUUCGGGUUGUAAAGGACUUUCAGCGGGGAGGAAGGGAGUAGAGUUAAUACCUUUGCUCAUUGACGUUACCCGCAGAAGAAGCACCGGCUAACUCCGUG